ACAUAAGUUACUAACAAAAAUUUUAAUAAAAAAGGAUAGAAAUAUAUAUCUUUCCACAUAAUACAAAAUUGGCUCGGUUUGUCGUUCAUUGUACCAACUCUCCCAAUAAAGGAACACUAGAGUCCGCAAAAUGUUGCUAUGACGAUUUUAAGUACUUGUCCUUUAAAAUGACAUUUUGCGGAGUCAAAGCAGUUCCCAAAGUAACCAUUUUAGAGAGAGUGUACUAAAAAAGCUUUUUUUUAAUUCUUUCUCUUUUUUAUAAAUUGUUUAUUUUAUGUUGACCUCAAAGUUCAGAUAAUAGAUAAGCCGAGUCAUUGGCGGGAAAACGUCCGAAUGGUCGCCAUUUGCUUGUGCAAGUAACUGUUAGAAACGGUGUUUGUGGCCUUGUGUGGAUCUGUUCGCCCUCGUGAUACAGUACUUGAGAUUAUGGGAAAUGUCUAGACCAAAGGGAGCAGGGAGCGACUCGCGGAGUGAUAUGAAGUACCAACGGGGUAGUGGGACGCUAUCCCGGGGAGCCGAAGGAAGAACAGCCCAGAGGCAGAGAGAAUUAGGCAGUGAAACAUCCUGACGUGUUAAUUAUUAAAUUGAAUAAAUCUUGAUUUGAGCGUUGUGAUUUUAUUUAAACUCAGCAUAAUGAAGUUUCUAACAUCAGAAGUGGGAUAGUACGCGAUAUAAAAACCCAAUCUGGCCGAGUGUUAGUGUUAAAGCCACAAAAAGUUUAAAAGUAAAAGUGAUUCCUGUAAAUGGGCAAAAGGAGCGACAAUAACAUCGAUCAUGGAUCUCGUUGACCGAUGACCGGAAAGGGACAUCCGAACUGCGACCGACGUCUGAGCCGACGUUAUUAUCAUUGGUCGACUUCACGGGCGUAAGAACCAUGGAGGAGAGGUUCAAGACGCCGUGACGUAGAGGACGCACAUUCGAGUACGAGUCCGAGUACGGGAUGACGGACGGCCUUGUAGGAACGAAGUCACAAAACCGAACUUUUACCGAGGAUGGGACAAGUUGGCACAGGGUGCAGGCCACGAUAGGUAAAAUGUAAAAUGACAAAAGAAACCAACUGUACGCUGACAAAUAAAAAUUCCAUUGAAUCUGACGCCACGCACUUCCCCGAAAAAAAAAAACGUAUCGAAUUGCGUAGUCGAAGGGUCGUUCUCAGAAUUGACAGAUUUCGCUCGUAAAACACUGUUAAGAGAAUAAAAAUAAUUUUAAAAUAAUUUAUAAGCAUGGUACCAAGAAGUCUUCAUAGUAAUGUAAUAGGUAAUUAAGUUCAUUCCAAGACAUAUCAAUCAUUAUUCCAAGUGCGACCGUAUGUAUCAGUUAUCUUAAUGUAGAGUUGGGGCGUAUUUAGUUUUCUGUAACCCACCCUGUCAACACUGCGGUUAUCUAGUGUUUAUCAUAGCAGUUUUAACUUGGGGAUGUGCAUCUUUGUGGGUAAGUUGAGAAAUGAUCUGACAAAAUAAAUCGGUGGUUUGAAAUCUGAGACUUAUUCUAAAUAAUUUAAAAAUCGAUUUUAAAUUUUAAGAAUAAUGAAGAAUAAAACCUGGUUGAUUCUUGAUUAAUUUUCAGUACUAAAAAAAUUAAUCUAAGGUAAUUAAUGUUUUGGUAAGCAGAUAGUUUCUCCAACAAGGUGGAACAGGUACCGAGAAGCGGUGGGGAUGUGCGAAAAAUAUGAAACUGUUGCGGUACAUUGCUGGCAAGUGUAUGAGGUCAAGUGGUUAAAACUUGGAGGCGAUAUUUUAAUUUGCGGCUAAGGGGUGCACUGAAAAUUGCAAAUGAUUGUUUUGAAAUGGGCCUCUGAGAUGGCAAGAUUAACACGAUUAUGCGGAAAUAUUUACCGAAUAACGUAUGACGGUGUGCGCCUAUUUAUAAGUAUGUAAGUAAGUAUCUGCGCCUAUGAUAAAAGUAUCAGUUCAUGUGGUUUCAAAAGAGGCAAUGACGAUUAGGUCAUUUACGAUUAUGAAAAAAAUAUAUAAGAUUUACUUGAGGUCGAGCUGAGGUAUAAUAUUGGUCCCCAAAGAUGCGCCAAUUGUUAGAAUUGGGUAAUUCUAAUUUAAGACAAAAAAAAAAUGGACGCUCCAAAAAAAAAUGCAAAUGUUGUCUUAAAAAGGCUAAAAAAAAGAUACAGAAAAUAAAAAGGUAAAAAAAAAAGUUCGACGCCCGACCGCCGACAACAAACCAUCACCGAUUGAGGAGCAAUUAGAAAAUUUUAGACGAAUGAAAUCCGAAGUACUCAUCAUUUUGAAUGCUGUAGCUACACCACGCGUUCAUAGAUGGAUCGAUCAGCAGAAAGUCGAUGUUGGAACGACAACAUUCCCAAUUCGCAAUUAGACAUCAAUGAAAGUGAAUGCCUUUGAAGAUUCAUUCAGGGAGGUUUUAAUGAAGUUCGUGCUGCCGUCGACGGGUUGUUCAUCACUUCACCAGAAACCUCUAGACAUCGGGACUUCUCGUCGCUAUUCUUCAUUCCGCGACUGAUCUUCAGUACCACCCCGGAAUAUCGCGCGAAUUUGCUGGUACCACAAUAUUCGCUUCCAUUUCUUCUUGUCAUGACUCGCCAAUGCCAACGCCAAAACCACUUGGAAGUGCAGGAGGAGAUCUUUGGAUUCAGAGUUAUAUUCACCAGUGCAGCCGUUCUCGAGAUCACGAGAUUCUGGAUCCAAGUUGGAGUCAGGUAUUUAGAAGAAUGCUAAUUACAAAAUACUGCGGGUGGCGCAUAGACCUGUGUCUUUAUUUUGCUUUAGUUUUAGUUUAAAAGGAGGAGCACUGCGGGAGUGGAUAAACGUAAUAACUCCUGUGUCUUUGCUCUAUCCAUAAAGGUUUAUCACAAUUCAGAAAUUAGAAAUUCUAGCUCCUGUGUCUUUGCUUCAGCAUUGCGGGAGGUUAAACAGAAGUACCAUUCCUGUGUCUUUGCUGAUAUGCAUUGCGGGAGGCUAAAUAAAAGUACUACUCCUGUGUCUUUGCUAAAAUGCAUUGCGGGAGUUGGAAUAUGGGCACCACUCCUGUGCCUUUGCUAAGAUGCACUGCGGGAAGUGAGGUUUGCCCAAGCGUACGGGGCCCCAAAUUGAAGUAAGUUGCGGACUAAAGCGCUUAGUUUUAAGUUGCGUACGUUAGACUUAGAAUGCGGAUCACUGUGUCUAGUUUUAAGUAUCCACGCAUUACUUUUUAUUUUUAUUUCUUUAAUUCUUACUUUAUUUUGCGGAUUCUUGUUUAUGUUUUUCGUAUGCUUUAGUGAUUUUGUUUACAUUGUUUUUAUUAUUCUUACGCAUUCUAUUUAGCGGUUUUUGUAUAUGUCGUUUUUAUUGUUUUAUUUUAUUUUGUUGAUCCCUGUUCCCUGUUAUGAAUAAUGGUUUUGUGUUAUUCUUUUAUAUUUCUCAUUUUUAGGUGAUAUAAAAAAAUUUUUACUGGAAUCUCGGAAUACUUUUCCUUAUUGUUCUAAAGUUUAUAAAUACACUGAGAUAUUGUCGUUUAAAUGUCCUAAAUAUUGGUUGAGUUUUAGGCACGAAUUGAUUAUAAGUUCAGAUAGAGUGAGGACACUCUGGAUGUCAGGAAAGGCCGUGUUAGAAACGGUGUUUGUGGCCUUGUGUGGAUCUGUUCGCUCUCGUGAUACAGUACUUGAGAUUAUGGGAAAUGUCUAGACCAAAGGGAGCAGGGAGCGACUCGCGGAGUGAUAUGAAGUACCAACGGGGUAGUGGGACGCUAUCCCGGGGAGCCGAAGGAAGAACAGCCUAGAGGCAGAGAGAAUUAGGCAGUGAAACAGUCCUGACGUGUUAAUUAUUAAAUUGAAUAAAUCUUGAUUUGAG
Molecule: long non-coding RNA, 3797 nt
Organism: Tribolium castaneum (red flour beetle)
Lineage: Eukaryota; Metazoa; Arthropoda; Insecta; Coleoptera; Tenebrionidae
Exons: 2
Source: RefSeq, a predicted model, not a curated record